RNAcentral lists this ribosomal RNA (375 nucleotides) under Escherichia coli O103. RNAcentral's name for it is "partial 23S ribosomal RNA". It matches the Rfam family "Bacterial large subunit ribosomal RNA", at positions 418 to 795 of the family's 2925-position model. The record is from RNAcentral. Lineage: Bacteria; Pseudomonadati; Pseudomonadota; Gammaproteobacteria; Enterobacterales; Enterobacteriaceae.
CGGGACACGUGGUAUCCUGUCUGAAUAUGGGGGGACCAUCCUCCAAGGCUAAAUACUCCUGACUGACCGAUAGUGAACCAGUACCGUGAGGGAAAGGCGAAAAGAACCCCGGCGAGGGGAGUGAAAAAGAACCUGAAACCGUGUACGUACAAGCAGUGGGAGCACGCUUAGGCGUGUGACUGCGUACCUUUUGUAUAAUGGGUCAGCGACUUAUAUUCUGUAGCAAGGUUAACCGAAUAGGGGAGCCGAAGGGAAACCGAGUCUUAACUGGGCGUUAAGUUGCAGGGUAUAGACCCGAAACCCGGUGAUCUAGCCAUGGGCAGGUUGAAGGUUGGGUAACACUAACUGGAGGACCGAACCGACUAAUGUUGAAAA